GAUGAACGCUGACAGAAUGCUUAACACAUGCAAGUCAACUUGAACUUCGGUUUGGGUGGCGGACGGGUGAGUAACGCGUAAAGAACUUGCCUCACAGAUAGGGACAACGUUUGGAAACGAAUGCUAAUACCUGAUAUUAUGAUUAUAUGGCAUCGUAUAAUUAUGAAAGCUGUAUGCGCUGUGAGAGAGCUUUGCGUCUCAUUAGCUAGUUGGAGAGGUAACGGCUCACCAAGGCGAUGAUGGGUAGCCGGCCUGAGAGGGUGAUCGGCCACAAGGGGACUGAGACACGGCCCUUACUCCCACGGGAGGCAACAGUGGGGAAUAUUGGACAAUGGACCAAGAGUCUGAUCCAGCAAUUCUGUGUGGACGAUGAAGUUUUUCGGAAUGUAAAGUGCUUUCAGUUGGGAAGAAAAAAAUGACGGUACCAACAGAAGAAGUGACGGCUAAAUACGUG
Molecule: ribosomal RNA, 454 nt
Filed under: uncultured bacterium
Lineage: Bacteria
Description: partial 16S ribosomal RNA
Rfam family: Bacterial small subunit ribosomal RNA
Source: RNAcentral